Molecule: long non-coding RNA, 535 nt
Filed under: Setaria viridis
Lineage: Eukaryota; Viridiplantae; Streptophyta; Magnoliopsida; Poales; Poaceae
Description: long non-coding RNA (SVIR_LNC001994)
Source: RNAcentral
CUAGGUAUUGUUAUCAAUGGCAAGCAAGAUUUCCUCGACCGUCUGCUUCAAGUAAUUGGCAAGCUAAACGAAGUCAUAUGCUCGUUUUCAAUCUGUAUCAAAGAUGGAACUGAGAUUACUGAGAUGAAAAGCUCAAAACUCCCGACCCCCAGAUCUCUUGCAAAACUUAACAUCAGUGGCAAGAUAAGUGGGUUGUCUACAUGGAUCAGCGAGCUUGAACAGCUUUCCAAGAUAACUCUAUCCCAUACCUUCUUGGAAGACAUUGAUAUACGGAUCCUAGGCAACCUUUUCAACUUGCGUUUCUUAAGGCUUGGGAGCGAGUCCUAUACUGACAAGAACCUAACAUUCAGGAAUGGAUUCAGUAAACUUGAGGUUCUUGUCAUUGAGAGCUCACAUAUUUCUGACAUCCAUUUUGAACAGAAAGCAGCUCCUAAGCUUGAGAAGAUUGUUUGGACGUCUACCUUUAACUGCAAAAUAGAAACUCUCGCAAUUGAGAAGCUUCCAAGCCUGAAAGAGAUUGAACUCAAUGGUGUCU